AUCCUGGCUCAGAUUGAGCGCUGGCGGCAUGCUUUACACAUGCAAGUCGAACGGUAACAGGGAGCUUGCUCCGCUGACGAGUGGCGAACGGGUGAGUAAUGCAUCGGAACGUACCCAGUCGUGGGGGAUAACGUAGCGAAAGUUACGCUAAUACCGCAUACGUCCUGAGGGAGAAAGCGGGGGGACCGAAAGGCCUCGCGCGAUUGGAGCGGCCGAUGUCGGAUUAGCUAGUUGGUAGGGUAAAGGCCUACCAAGGCGACGAUCCGUAGCGGGUCUGAGAGGAUGAUCCGCCACACUGGGACUGAGACACGGCCCAGACUCCUACGGGAGGCAGCAGUGGGGAAUUUUGGACAAUGGGCGCAAGCCUGAUCCAGCCAUGCCGCGUGAGUGAAGAAGGCCUUCGGGUUGUAAAGCUCUUUCAGGUGGAAAGAAAACGCAUGGGUCAAUACCCUGUGUGGAUGACGGUACCAUCAGAAGAAGCACCGGCUAACUACGUG
This 497-nucleotide ribosomal RNA is filed under the name uncultured bacterium. RNAcentral describes it as "bacterial SSU rRNA". It matches the Rfam family "Bacterial small subunit ribosomal RNA", at positions 16 to 507 of the family's 1533-position model. The record is from RNAcentral.